Long non-coding RNA from Homo sapiens (human), 1240 nucleotides. Ensembl annotates it as CELF2 antisense RNA 2. Its record names the gene CELF2-AS2. NCBI's taxonomy places the organism in Eukaryota, Metazoa, Chordata, Mammalia, Primates, Hominidae. The record is from Ensembl.
AAUCAAGUCAUGGCCAACUCUUCUGGAAGGGUAAGAGCAAGAGCAGUGGGCUGAAGAACUGUUAUCCCUCUGCAGUACAUGGGGGUUUGAGCUCACGUCAAUGUGCCUGACCUAAGGGCAAAUGGAGCUAAGCAGGAGGGAGAAUUAGACACUUGCCACGGCUUGGAGACAGGGUCUACUGCUCUCUGCUGAACCAGAGGAAAGAACACACUGGCUCCUGAACCUUCGCAGGAAGACAAGGCGAGGGCUGCUGGGUGCCCGUCGCUGCUCACAGCACAGAACGUCCCACUCCUCAGACUCUUUGUCCCCGUCCUAAGACUGUCCUUCACUUGGUCCAUCCAAUCCAAAAUAUGGGCAUACGAAACACACCUCAUCCUUCACACACACAACAUGCUCAACCUUCACUAGCCACGUGACUUUCUUUCUCACAUCAUCCUGAAUUUGCUUUUCUGAAAUUUACUUUUCAAUCUUCUGACUUUUCUUCAUACCUAAGAAGACUGGACAAAGUGCUUGAAAAGCAAAUGGAAACAUUUUAUGAAUAACUACGCAAAGGAAAGACAUAUAAAUAUUUUUAAAGUUUCCCUUCUACAGAAAUGAGCUUAAGUCAACACUACAGUUGCCACUAAGUGUAAGGAUUCGUGAAGGGGAAAACGACGGACUCCCUUCCCUCUGUUCUUCUCAAGUAAUGCAAAUUAGAGAAGAGACGGGGGCGGGGAGAGAAGAGGAAUGCUGAAAGGGCAUUAUGCUUUUGCUAUUUAGUAAAAGAAGUAUCAACAUGCCUUCUGAUGACUCCUGAACAUCCCUUACAAAUGAAGGAGCCACAGAGUGGGGCAACUCCAUGCCUUUAUCACUCAGCCAGCCAAGGAAGAGGAAGACAAUCAAGCCACACUUGACAAGGGACAAGACCAUUCACUUUCAGGGCCAAGGGGAUUAGGACAGAGCAGCAUUUUCCCAUAGUGACAAGAGGAAACAAGAGAAUCGAAAGCAUCUUUCAAUUCCAUUCUGAGUCAAAGAGGUUGUUCUUGCAGCCCAACUGGGAACCUACAUGCAAACCAGUUCUAUGAGAAAAUAUGUCCCCAAAUUCCAAACUACUUCCAGCAGCAAGACAGUUAAGAGACACAUUGGAUGAGGCAACAGCGGGGAAGAAAGGGAGCUGAUCUUGAAUUGGCUGUGUACUGACAGAUUGUAUGAAUGAAAGCAAUAAAAAUAAGCCCCAAAAUCUGGGUUUUGAGUGGAAAAA